Molecule: ribosomal RNA, 253 nt
Filed under: uncultured bacterium
Lineage: Bacteria
Description: partial 16S ribosomal RNA
Rfam family: Bacterial small subunit ribosomal RNA
Source: RNAcentral
UACAGAGGUCCCGAGCGUUGUUCGGAUUUAUUGGGCGUAAAGGGUGCGUAGGCGGCGGAGUAAGUUGGGUGUGAAAUCCCGAGGCUCAACCUCGGAAUUGCAUUCAAUACUGCUUCGCUCGAGUACUGGAGAGGAGGCUGGAAUUUACGGUGUAGCAGUGAAAUGCGUAGAUAUCGUAAGGAAGGCCGGUGGCGAAAGCGAGCCUCUGGACAGUUACUGACGCUGAGGAGCGAAAGCCAGGGGAGCAAACGGG